Molecule: ribosomal RNA, 419 nt
Filed under: uncultured Prevotella sp.
Lineage: Bacteria; Pseudomonadati; Bacteroidota; Bacteroidia; Bacteroidales; Prevotellaceae
Description: bacterial SSU rRNA
Rfam family: Bacterial small subunit ribosomal RNA
Source: RNAcentral
GGAAUAUUGGUCAAUGGGCGCGAGCCUGAACCAGCCAAGUAGCGUGCAGGAUGACGGCCCUAUGGGUUGUAAACUGCUUUUAUACAGGGAUAAAGUAGGGAACGUGUUCCCUUUUGCAGGUACUGUAUGAAUAAGGACCGGCUAAUUCCGUGCCAGCAGCCGCGGUAAUACGGAAGGUCCGGGCGUUAUCCGGAUUUAUUGGGUUUAAAGGGAGCGCAGGCCGGAGGUCAAGCGUGACGUGAAAUGUAGGGGCUCAACCUUUGAAUUGCGUCGCGAACUGGCUUUCUUGAGUGAGUACGACGUCAGCGGAAUUCGUGGUGUAGCGGUGAAAUGCUUAGAUAUCACGAAGAACCCCGAUUGCGAAGGCAGCUGACGAGUCCUUAACUGACGCUAAAGCUCGAAGGUGCGGGUAUCGAACA